UUCCUGGUGGUCCAGUGGCUAAGACUCCACUCCCAAUGUAGGGUGCCCAGGUUCAAUCCCUGGUCAGGGAA
Molecule: transfer RNA, 71 nt
Filed under: Bos taurus (domestic cattle)
Lineage: Eukaryota; Metazoa; Chordata; Mammalia; Artiodactyla; Bovidae
Also listed under: 5 other names
Rfam family: tRNA
About the family: Transfer RNA (tRNA) molecules are approximately 80 nucleotides in length. Their secondary structure includes four short double-helical elements and three loops (D, anti-codon, and T loops).
Source: Rfam by way of RNAcentral